This 563-nucleotide ribosomal RNA is filed under the name Urocerus gigas. RNAcentral describes it as "eukaryotic LSU rRNA". It matches the Rfam family "Eukaryotic large subunit ribosomal RNA", at positions 666 to 1138 of the family's 3401-position model. The record is from RNAcentral. Lineage: Eukaryota; Metazoa; Arthropoda; Insecta; Hymenoptera; Siricidae.
CCAAGGAGUCUAACAUGUGCGCGAGUCAUUGGGACGUCGAAGCCUAAAGGCGCAAUGAAAGUGAAGGCCGUGUCUCGGUCACGGCCGAGGGAGGAUGGGUUUUGGGGCGGCCGGCUCGUCCGGUCGCUCCGGCCUCGCACUCCCGGGGCGUCUCGGCCUCAUUGCGAGGCGAGGCGCACCCAGAGCGUACACGUUGGGACCCGAAAGAUGGUGAACUAUGCCUGGUCAGGACGAAGUCAGGGGAAACCCUGAUGGAGGUCCGUAGCGAUUCUGACGUGCAAAUCGAUCGUCGGAACUGGGUAUAGGGGCGAAAGACUAAUCGAACCAUCUAGUAGCUGGUUCCCUCCGAAGUUUCCCUCAGGAUAGCUGGCGCUCGYGCCCAACGUGCCGCACCUACCCGGUGCGCGCACGUGUAUCGAGUCUCAUCCGGUAAAGCGAAUGAUUAGAGGCCUUGGGGCCGAAACGACCUCAACCUAUUCUCAAACUUUAAAUGGGUGAGAUCUCUGGCUUGCUCGAACGUUGAAGCCACGAGAUCGGAUCAGAGUGCCAAGUGGGCCACUUUU